This is a long non-coding RNA of Lytechinus variegatus (green sea urchin), 438 nucleotides long. RefSeq lists it as uncharacterized. NCBI's taxonomy places the organism in Eukaryota, Metazoa, Echinodermata, Echinoidea, Temnopleuroida, Toxopneustidae. The transcript has 2 exons. The record is from RefSeq and is a predicted model, not a curated record.
AUAAGCUUAUCCCUUUUGAUUUGUAUUACUUCUUGCAUUUCAGAGUAUCCUACAGGUAUAAGCUUAUCCCAUUUGAUCUGUAUUGCCACAUACAUUGUAGAGUAUCCUACAGGUAUAAGCUUAUCCCAUUUGAUCUGUAUUACCUCAUACAUUGCAGAGUAUCCUACAGGUAUAAGCUUAUCCCUUUUGACUUGUAUUACUUCAUGCAUUACAGAGUAUCCAACAUGUACAAGCUUCUCCCUCUUGAUUUGUGUUACCUCGUACAUUGCAGAGUAUCAUUUAGGUAAAAUCUUAUCCAUUUUGAUUUGCAUUGCCUCAUACAUUUUAGAGUAUCAUACAGGUAUAAGCUCAAUGACAUUCAAUUGUAUUUAUUGUUGAAUAGUUGUAAAGUUCCUUUUGGAUUUGUUUUGUGAAAUAAAUGAUAUAUUUUUAAACCGA